GGUAGUCUCGCACAGAUGCAUAUCAAUAAGCGGAGGAAAAGAAACUAACAAGGAUUCCCCUAGUAACGGCGAGUGAAGCGGGAAGAGCUCAAAUUUGAAAUCUUAAAGGGUUUCCCUUUACGAAUUGUAGUUUAAAGAAGUGUUUUCUGUUGAGGUUUUGGUAAAAGUUCUUUGGAAUAGGACAUCAUAGAGGGUGAGAAUCCCGUAUUUGACCUUUACUUUCAACUUUGUGAUACACUUUCAAAGAGUCGGAUUGUUUGGGAAUGCAGUCCAAAAUGGGUGGUAAAUUUCAUCUAAAGCUAAAUAUUGGCGAGAGACCGAUAGCGAACAAGUACCGUGAGGGAAAGAUGAAAAGAACUUUGAAAAGAGAGUUAAACAGUACGUGAAAUUGUCAAAAGGGAAGCGUCUGACACCAGUGUUGUUUUUCUGAAAAUCAAUUAAAGAACUGUUUAUGCUAAGUUGUUUAGACUUUAUCAGCUAACUGUUUAGUUUUGAGCUUUUCUUUAAUGCACUUUUCAGUUAACAAGUCAACAUCAAUUUCUUUUGCUGUAAAAAAGCUUGAGGAAGGUGGCUUGAGAUUCGUCUUAAGUGUUUAUAGCCUCUUGCCUAUGCAGUCGGAGAGAUUGAGGUCUGCAGCGUAGAUCCUUCGGGGCUAAAUGCAUUUGUGCUAAGUUAUAGCAUUUUAUAGACAACUUGUUGACUAUGAUUUGUCUUGUAGCUUACUCGCUUAUGUUAUUUUACCUACGCUUAGGAUGUUGAUGUGAUACUGCGAGCA
This 775-nucleotide ribosomal RNA is filed under the name uncultured Neocallimastigales. RNAcentral's name for it is "partial large subunit ribosomal RNA". It matches the Rfam family "Eukaryotic large subunit ribosomal RNA", at positions 24 to 635 of the family's 3401-position model. Lineage: Eukaryota; Fungi; Neocallimastigomycota; Neocallimastigomycetes; Neocallimastigales. The record is from RNAcentral.